RNAcentral lists this ribosomal RNA (472 nucleotides) under uncultured bacterium. Its description in RNAcentral is "partial 16S ribosomal RNA". It matches the Rfam family "Bacterial small subunit ribosomal RNA", at positions 28 to 507 of the family's 1533-position model. The record is from RNAcentral.
GACGAACGCUGGCGGCGUGCUUAACACAUGCAAGUCGAACGCUGAAGCUUGGUGCUUGCACUGGGUGGAUGAGUGGCGCACGGGUGAGUAAUACGUGAGUAACCUGCCCUUGACUCUGGGAUAAGCCUGGGAAACUGGGUCUAAUACUGGAUACGACAUGCCACUGCAUGGUGGUGUGUGGAAAGGGUUUUACUGGUUUUGGAUGGGCUCACGGCCUAUCAGCUUGUUGGUGGGGUAAUGGCCUACCAAGGCGACGACGGGUAGCCGGCCUGAGAGGGUGACCGGCCACACUGGGACUGAGACACGGCCCAGACUCCUACGGGAGGCAGCAGUGGGGAAUAUUGCACAAUGGGCGGAAGCCUGAUGCAGCGACGCCGCGUGAGGGAUGACGGCCUUCGGGUUGUAAACCUCUUUCAGCACGGAAGAAGCGAGAGUGACGGUACGUGCAGAAGAAGCGCCGGCUAACUACGUG